Molecule: ribosomal RNA, 496 nt
Filed under: uncultured bacterium
Lineage: Bacteria
Description: partial 16S ribosomal RNA
Rfam family: Bacterial small subunit ribosomal RNA
Source: RNAcentral
AUGAACGCUGGCGGCGUGCCUAAUACAUGCCAGUCGAGCGAACGGACGAGAAGCUUGCUUCUCUGAUGUUAGCGGCGGACGGGUGAGUAACACGUGGAUAACCUACCUAUAAGACUGGGAUAACUUCGGGAAACCGGAGCUAAUACCGGAUAAUAUUUUGAACCGCAUGGUUCAAAAGUGAAAGACGGUCUUGCUGUCACUUAUAGAUGGAUCCGCGCUGCAUUAGCUAGUUGGUAAGGUAACGGCUUACCAAGGCAACGAUGCAUAGCCGACCUGAGAGGGUGAUCGGCCACACUGGAACUGAGACACGGUCCAGACUCCUACGGGAGGCAGCAGUAGGGAAUCUUCCGCAAUGGGCGAAAGCCUGACGGAGCAACGCCGCGUGAGUGAUGAAGGUCUUCGGAUCGUAAAACUCUGUUAUUAGGGAAGAACAUAUGUGUAAGUAACUGUGCACAUCUUGACGGUACGUAAUCAGAAAGCCACGGCUAACUACGUG